Molecule: ribosomal RNA, 500 nt
Filed under: uncultured bacterium
Lineage: Bacteria
Description: partial 16S ribosomal RNA
Rfam family: Bacterial small subunit ribosomal RNA
Source: RNAcentral
AUUGAACGCUGGCGGCAUGCCUUACACAUGCAAGUCGAACGGCAGCACGGGAGCAAUCCUGGUGGCGAGUGGCGAACGGGUGAGUAAAGUAUCGGAACGUGCCCAGUCGUGGGGGAUAACGUAGCGAAAGUUACGCUAAUACCGCAUACGAUCUAUGGAUGAAAGCGGGGGAUCGCAAGACCUCGCGCGAUUGGAGCGGCAGAUAUCAGAUUAGGUAGUUGGUGGGGUAAAGGCCCACGAAGCCGACGAUCUGUAGCUGGUCUGAGAGGACGACCAGCAAAACUGGGACUGGGACACGGCACAGACUCCGACGGGAGGCAGCAGUGGGGAAUUUUGGACAAUGGGCGAAAGCCUGAUCCAGCCAUGCCGCGUGCAGGAUGAAGGCCUUCGGGUUGUAAACUGCUUUUGUACGGAACGAAAAGGUUUGGCCUAAUAAGCUGAGCUCAUGACGGUACGGUAAGAAUAAGCACCGGCUAACUACGUGCCAGCCGCCGCCGUAA